GCACAAGCGGUGGAUGAUGUGGUUUAAUUCGAUGCAACGCGAAAACCUUACCCACCUUUGACAUGUACGGAACCCUUUAGAGAUAGAGGGGUGCUCGAAAGAGAGCCGCAACACAGGUGCUGCAUGGCUGUCGUCAGCUCGUGUCGUGAGAUGUUGGGUUAAGUCCCGCAACGAGCGCAACCCUUGUCAUUAGUUGCUACAUUCAGUUGGGCACUCUAAUGAGACUGCCGGUGACAAGCCGGAGGAAGGUGGGGAUGACGUCAAGUCCUCAUGGCCCUUAUAGGUGGGGCUACACACGUCAUACAAUGGCUGGUACAAAGGGUUGCCAACCCGCGAGGGGGAGCCAAUCCCAUAAAGCCAGUCGUAGUCCGGAUCGUAGUCUGCAACUCGACUACGUGAAGUCGGAAUCGCUAGUAAUCGUGGAUCAGAAUGUCACGGUGAAUACGUUCCCGGGUCUU
Molecule: ribosomal RNA, 458 nt
Filed under: uncultured Rhodoferax sp.
Lineage: Bacteria; Pseudomonadati; Pseudomonadota; Betaproteobacteria; Burkholderiales; Comamonadaceae
Description: bacterial SSU rRNA
Rfam family: Bacterial small subunit ribosomal RNA
Source: RNAcentral